RNAcentral lists this long non-coding RNA (937 nucleotides) under Buteo japonicus. RNAcentral's name for it is "lncRNA (ENSBJAG00000004489.1)". Lineage: Eukaryota; Metazoa; Chordata; Aves; Accipitriformes; Accipitridae. The record is from RNAcentral.
GUGUCCUAAGUGUUCCUGGGGUUUGGUCACUCUCUAAAACCUGGGCAGAUGUUUCACUUUCAGAGCAUUUGCUAAUGCUAUACGUUUAAUCCACUUACUGUGUAUCGUGGGUGAAGUGUUAGUGUGUGACCAUGAGGACUAGAAGGAAGAACAUUAAGUUUUCUGCCACGCAUUUCUGACCGGUUCGGCUGCUGGGAGCACUUGUGCUCCCUGCCCCCGGCCGCGGCUCGGUAAUAGCUGUUGGUUGUACGAGCGCUCAACAGCAGACUCUGAACCCGAGGGGCUUUGGGCCCUGGCUUGCCUGGAGUUGCCAAGAACAUCCCCCUCCCGUCACACACCGGUGGCUGUGGGAGCUCUGGGAAGGCGUUAGUGGCUUUAAUGAGGCGUGCGGGGCGCUCGCCGUCUGGCUCAGCAGCUCUCCUCCCUGCUGCGUCUGCCUUGUCCCUUAUCCAGAAGCAGCGUCAUGUAAGGCAGAACGCAGCUUGAAACUCAGCCUAGUAAUGAAGAGUUGGCUCUGACUGACGCAGCAGCCCCUGCCUGUUUGUCCCCUGCCAAGCUGCAGGCAUCUGAGCCAGCAGUAAUUGCUUCCUUUAGCCUUGCUCCCGUUUCCGUUGUUUUGGGCUAAAUAUGUGCACUUUCUUCCAGGAUUUGAAAUUCCUGAUGGAGAUGCAGAAAAGUUAAUGUGUCCACAAGAGAUUGUAGAUUACAUUGCAGAUAAGAAGGAUGUUUAUGAAUAAAAACAGUUCUUCAAAGCUGAGCGAUGAUGUCUCUACCACCAGGACUGGGCUGGUGUCAGCGGGUAUGAAUAUAAACGCACAUGCUGCACCGUUGCUGCUUUCAUCAGAAAGUUGUACUUGGAUGUUGUAUUUAAAGCUGUCUGAAUAUGUUGUCCUUUAAAAACAAGAAAAAAAAGGAAUAAAUAUGUAAGAAAGACCAU